RNAcentral lists this ribosomal RNA (466 nucleotides) under Vreelandella stevensii. RNAcentral describes it as "partial 16S ribosomal RNA". It matches the Rfam family "Bacterial small subunit ribosomal RNA", at positions 337 to 795 of the family's 1533-position model. The record is from RNAcentral. Lineage: Bacteria; Pseudomonadati; Pseudomonadota; Gammaproteobacteria; Oceanospirillales; Halomonadaceae.
CCUUACGGGGGGCAGCAGUGGGGAAUAUUGGACAAUGGGGGCAACCCUGAUCCAGCCAUGCCGCGUGUGUGAAGAAGGCCCUCGGGUUGUAAAGCACUUUCAGUGAGGAAGAACGCCUGGUGGUUAAUACCCAUCAGGAAAGACAUCACUCACAGAAGAAGCACCGGCUAACUCCGUGCCAGCAGCCGCGGUAAUACGGAGGGUGCGAGCGUUAAUCGGAAUUACUGGGCGUAAAGCGCGCGUAGGUGGCUUGAUAAGCCGGUUGUGAAAGCCCCGGGCUCAACCUGGGAACGGCAUCCGGAACUGUCAAGCUAGAGUGCAGGAGAGGAAGGUAGAAUUCCCGGUGUAGCGGUGAAAUGCGUAGAGAUCGGGAGGAAUACCAGUGGCGAAGGCGGCCUUCUGGACUGACACUGACACUGAGGUGCGAAAGCGUGGGUAGCAAACAGGAUUAGAUACCCCUGUAGUC